Long non-coding RNA from Priapulus caudatus, 952 nucleotides. RefSeq lists it as uncharacterized. The record is from RefSeq and is a predicted model, not a curated record. NCBI's taxonomy places the organism in Eukaryota, Metazoa, Priapulida, Priapulimorpha, Priapulimorphida, Priapulidae. The transcript has 2 exons.
CCUCGCUCCCGCGCUCCCUCCCUUCCUCUCUACUCCUGCUUACCAGUGAGAACGUGAGUGUAGUGGUGGAUGUCAUUCAACACCAGCCCGUCUAACAGUUCUCCCCCUCCUCUCCCUCUCUCUCUCUCUCGCUCUCCCUCCCUCCCUUCCUCGCCCCCGCACUCCUCCCUUCCUCUCUACUCCUGCUUACCAGUAAGAACGUGAGUUUAGUGGUGGAUGUCAUUCAACACCAGCCGUCUAACAGUUCUCCCCCUCCUCUCCUCCUCUCUCUCUCUCCCUCUCUCCCUCCCUUCCUCCCUCCUGCACUCCCCUCCCUUCCUCUCUACUCCUGCUUACCAGUAAGAACGUGAGUGUAGUGGUGGAUGUCAUUCAACACCAGCCCCACGUACAGUUUUCCCAGCUGCUCUAGCACUCUCUCUGCCAGUCGCGUUUGGUUCUAUUUUGUUUUGUUUUUCGAUCAGUCACCAGUUCAUCGCAUUCGUAGGUAGUGGUGCCUCCUGGCGGUCGCGCUGCUGCGUGGGUCUGUCGACAGCGCCCUCUGAUGUGCUCUGCACAAAUAUAAAAUUUCCAAUGCGUAACUUUGCCAGGGGCAGCACAAGUCGCACGGUGCCAUGCAGCACCCAGUUUUCUUAUUAUUGCUGUCUUAAAAAUCUCAUAAAUCAAUGUGUACAUCUAAUAAGAAUAAUAUGUGGUGAUGUAAUAUUCUUUUGCAAUAAGCAUAAAAAUAUAAUACUCAUAUUCUACACCAUCAAUGACUACUGUUUCAGUCUCAAUUUGCACCCGGUGGAAGGCCGAAGAAGUUUAUUUAAUGAGUCUACGCGCUAUUUGCUCCCCAAUCGUGGAAAUUUUACAUUUACAUACUUUCUUUGAUAUCUUGUAAUUUUUCAAGUAAUAUAUUAAAAUUAAAUGUAUGCGUUUUUAAUUUUGAUAAACUUUCUCAAUAAGUCAACAA